AUUCCUUUGAGCUCUUGGAGUGAAGUAGCCCCUUUUUUGGCAGACAAAACUUUCUCACUUGCUUGAACGCUAUGAAGAAUUUGCCUAUGAUGGAAGUGCCUUUGCGAUCAUAAUGCCUCUCUCAGCAUGUGUCUCCAUCUUUAUUUCUAGCCAUGAGACCAUUAACUAAGUAUGUCAACAUGGCUCAACUGGAGAAGGGCUAAGCUUAUUGAGAGAGGGAAGAAUUGCUUGCUAAAGGAGGGUGGCUUCCUCCCACCACAUGGUGACAUUCCUGUUGUGUGAACACAGGAAUUCCAAGUGCCCAG
This 305-nucleotide long non-coding RNA is filed under the name Chinchilla lanigera (long-tailed chinchilla). RNAcentral's name for it is "lncRNA (ENSCLAG00000028040.1)". The record is from RNAcentral. Lineage: Eukaryota; Metazoa; Chordata; Mammalia; Rodentia; Chinchillidae.